RNAcentral lists this unclassified non-coding RNA (332 nucleotides) under soil metagenome. Its description in RNAcentral is "partial contains 5.8S ribosomal RNA, internal transcribed spacer 2, and large subunit ribosomal RNA". The stretch from base 1 to 120 matches the Rfam family "5.8S ribosomal RNA", at positions 35 to 154 of the family's 154-position model. The record is from RNAcentral.
GAUGAAGAACGCAGCGAAAUGCGAUAAGUAAUGUGAAUUGCAGAAUUCAGUGAAUCAUCGAAUCUUUGAACGCACAUUGCGCCCCUUGGUAUUCCAUGGGGCAUGCCUGUUCGAGCGUCAUUUGUACCCUCAAGCUUUGCUUGGUGUUGGGCGUUUUGUCUUUUUAUCAAGACUCGCCUUAAAGUAAUUGGCAGCCAGUGUUUUGGUAGUAAGCGCAGCACAUUUUGCGUCUUAAUCCCUCAACAGUGGCACCCAUAAAGCCUCUUUCUCACUUUUGACCUCGGAUCAGGUAGGGAUACCCGCUGAACUUAAGCAUAUCAAUAAGCGGAGGA